UACGUAGGGAGCAAGCGUUGUCCGGAAUCAUUGGGCGUAAAGCGCGCGUAGGUGGCCUCGUAAGUCCGCUGUGAAAGUCAAAGGCUCAACCUUUGAAAGCCGGUGGAUACUGUGAGGCUAGAGUACGGAAGAGGCGAGUGGAAUUCCUGGUGUAGCGGUGGAAUGCGCAGAUAUCAGGAGGAACACCAAUAGCGAAGGCAGCUCGCUGGGACUUAACUGACACUGAGGCGCGAAAGCGUGGGGAGCGAACAGG
This 253-nucleotide ribosomal RNA is filed under the name uncultured bacterium. Its description in RNAcentral is "partial 16S ribosomal RNA". It matches the Rfam family "Bacterial small subunit ribosomal RNA", at positions 524 to 776 of the family's 1533-position model. The record is from RNAcentral.